UGGCUUAGAUGGUAAAGUGUCUGCCUACAAUGCGGGAGACCCAGGUUCGAUCCCUGG
This 57-nucleotide transfer RNA is filed under the name Ovis aries (sheep). It matches the Rfam family "tRNA", at positions 8 to 63 of the family's 71-position model. From Rfam's summary of the family: Transfer RNA (tRNA) molecules are approximately 80 nucleotides in length. The record is from Rfam by way of RNAcentral. Lineage: Eukaryota; Metazoa; Chordata; Mammalia; Artiodactyla; Bovidae.